GAACACUUGAGCCAUGUGCACGAGCCGAACCCACUUCACUCAAAACAGGUCUUUAAAUUACUGUGCCAGACUUUUAUCAAGAUGGGGCUGCUCUCUUCCUUUACCUGCAGCGAUGAGUUCAGCUCCCUGAGACUCCACCACAACAGAGCCAUCACUCAUUUAAUGAGGUCUGCCAAGGAGAGAGUCCGUCAGGUAAGCCCUCCCACGGCGUACUAUGUAUAUGACGAGUACAUUUGAAUCCUAGAACCCUGCGUGUGAGCUGAAGAGAUAGCUCAGCAGUUCCGAACACUUGCCCAGGGCCCAGGUUUGGCUGCACCUUUAGGGUGUCUCACAACUGUUGGUAAAUCUGUGGAGUAACCUCCAUGGGCACCAGGCACCAAAUGAGGUCAGUGCAUGUAGGCACAGUCAUACACGUGAAAUACAGUUAGG
Molecule: long non-coding RNA, 429 nt
Filed under: Rattus norvegicus (Norway rat)
Lineage: Eukaryota; Metazoa; Chordata; Mammalia; Rodentia; Muridae
Description: long non-coding RNA NONRATT007767
Source: RNAcentral